This 253-nucleotide ribosomal RNA is filed under the name uncultured bacterium. RNAcentral's name for it is "partial 16S ribosomal RNA". It matches the Rfam family "Bacterial small subunit ribosomal RNA", at positions 524 to 776 of the family's 1533-position model. The record is from RNAcentral.
UACGGAGGGGGCUAGCGUUAUUCGGAAUUAUUGGGCGUAAAGGGCGCGUAGGCGGCCCGGUAAGUCAAAGGUGAAAUCCCUCGGCUCAACUGAGGAACUGCCUUUGAAACUGUCGGGCUUGAGGCCGGGAGGGGGUAGCGGAAUUCCCAGUGUAGCGGUGAAAUGCGUAGAUAUCUGGAGGAACACCGGUGGCGAAGGCGGCAUCCUGGACCGGCAUUGACGCUGAGGCGCGAAAGCUAGGGGAGCAAACGGG